GACGAACGCUGGCGGCGUGCUUAACACAUGCAAGUCGAGCGGAGCGGCGAACGGGUGAGUAACGCGUGAGUAACUUCCCCCCUCUCUGGGAUUACAGUUGGAAACGGCUGCCAAUACCGGAUAGUGGGGGAUGACUCGCGUCCAAUGAGCUUGUUGGUGGAGUAGUGGCCUACCAAGGCGCUGACGGGUAGCCGGCCUGAGAGGGGGCCCGGCCACAUUGGGCUGAGAUACGGGCCAAAGUCCUACGGGAGGCAGCAGUGGAGAAUAUUGCACAAUGGGGGAAACCCUGAUGCAGCAACGCCGCGUGCGGGAUGACGGCCUUCGGGUUGUAAACCGCUUUCAGCCAUGACGCGGUAGUGGCAGAAGAAGCACCGGCUAACUACGUGCCAGCAGCCGCGGUAAUUC
RNAcentral lists this ribosomal RNA (405 nucleotides) under uncultured bacterium. RNAcentral describes it as "partial 16S ribosomal RNA". It matches the Rfam family "Bacterial small subunit ribosomal RNA", at positions 28 to 526 of the family's 1533-position model. The record is from RNAcentral.